UACGUAGGGUGCAAGCGUUGUCCGGAAUUAUUGGGCGUAAAGAGCUCGUAGGCGGUUUGUCGCGUCUGCUGUGAAAACGCGAGGCUCAACCUCGCGCCUGCAGUGGGUACGGGCAGACUAGAGUGCGGUAGGGGAGACUGGAAUUCCUGGUGUAGCGGUGAAAUGCGCAGAUAUCGGGAGGAACACCGGUGGCGAAGGCGGUUCUCUGGGCCUGUACUGACGCUGAGGAGCGAAAGCGUGGGGAGCGAACAGG
This 253-nucleotide ribosomal RNA is filed under the name uncultured bacterium. RNAcentral's name for it is "partial 16S ribosomal RNA". It matches the Rfam family "Bacterial small subunit ribosomal RNA", at positions 524 to 776 of the family's 1533-position model. The record is from RNAcentral.